RNAcentral lists this ribosomal RNA (253 nucleotides) under uncultured prokaryote. Its description in RNAcentral is "partial 16S ribosomal RNA". It matches the Rfam family "Bacterial small subunit ribosomal RNA", at positions 525 to 777 of the family's 1533-position model. The record is from RNAcentral.
ACGUAGGCAGCGAGCGUUGUUCGGAGUUACUGGGCGUAAAGAGUGCGUAGGCGGUUUUCUAAGUUUGGUGUGAAAUCUCCCGGCUUAACUGGGAGGGUGCGCCGAAAACUGGAAGGCUUGAGUAUGGGAGAGGUAAGCGGAAUUCCUGGUGUAGCGGUGAAAUGCGUAGAUAUCAGGAGGAACACCUGCGGUGUAGACGGCUUACUGGACCAUAACUGACGCUGAGGCACGAAAGCGUGGGUAGCAAACAGGA